RNAcentral lists this ribosomal RNA (389 nucleotides) under uncultured bacterium. RNAcentral's name for it is "bacterial SSU rRNA". It matches the Rfam family "Bacterial small subunit ribosomal RNA", at positions 30 to 420 of the family's 1533-position model. The record is from RNAcentral.
AUUGAACGCUGGCGGCAUGCCUUACACAUGCAAGUCGAACGGCAGCACGGGAGCAAUCCUGGUGGCGAGUGGCGAACGGGUGAGUAAUAUAUCGGAACGUGCCCAGUCGUGGGGGAUAACGUAGCGAAAGCUACGCUAAUACCGCAUACGAUCUAUGGAUGAAAGCGGGGGAUCGCAAGACCUCGCGCGAUUGGAGCGGCCGAUAUCAGAUUAGGUAGUUGGUGAGGUAAAGGCUCACCAAGCCGACGAUCUGUAGCUGGUCUGAGAGGACGACCAGCCACACUGGGACUGAGACACGGCCCAGACUCCUACGGGAGGCAGCAGUGGGGAAUUUUGGACAAUGGCGCAAGCCUGAUCCAGCAAUGCCGCGUGCAGGAUGAAGGCCUCGG